This 491-nucleotide ribosomal RNA is filed under the name uncultured bacterium. Its description in RNAcentral is "partial 16S ribosomal RNA". It matches the Rfam family "Bacterial small subunit ribosomal RNA", at positions 28 to 507 of the family's 1533-position model. The record is from RNAcentral.
GAUGAACGCUGGCUACAGGCUUAACACAUGCAAGUCGAGGGGAAACGACGGGGAAGCUUGCUUCCCCGGGCGUCGACCGGCGCACGGGUGAGUAACGCGUAUCCAACCUGCCUCUGACUGAGGGAUAACCCGUCGAAAGUCGGCCUAAUACCUCAUGGCAUCGUCUGCGGGCAUCCAACGACGAUUAAAGAUUUCAUCGGUCAGGGAUGGGGAUGCGUCUGAUUAGCUUGUUGGCGGGGUAACGGCCCACCAAGGCUACGAUCAGUAGGGGUUCUGAGAGGCAGGUCCCCCACAUUGGAACUGAGACACGGUCCAAACUCCUACGGGAGGCAGCAGUGAGGAAUAUUGGUCAAUGGGCGGGAGCCUGAACCAGCCAAGUAGCGUGCAGGAUGACGGCCCUAUGGGUUGUAAACUGCUUUUAUGCGGGGAUAAAGUGAGGGACGUGUCCUUCAUUGCAGGUACCGCAUGAAUAAGGACCGGCUAAUUCCGUG